RNAcentral lists this long non-coding RNA (278 nucleotides) under Salvia miltiorrhiza (redroot sage). Its description in RNAcentral is "long non-coding RNA (SMIL_LNC004149)". The record is from RNAcentral. Lineage: Eukaryota; Viridiplantae; Streptophyta; Magnoliopsida; Lamiales; Lamiaceae.
UACCUCGUCGUCACUUGAGUCGAAUUGUUUCUUAACGGUUGAUGAGUCUUCAAUAAGGAUGACAGUAUGUGAUAUUUCUCUCUUGACGUCGUAAAGGCCAAACAAGUUGCACAUUUGUAAGAAUUUUGGCUCGCCGUUAUGGUAAUAUGCUUGGAAGAAUGCAUUUUCCUAUGACAAAAUCAAAUAAAUGAAUGAAUUAUAUACCACAAGACAUUAUCGCAUGAACAUCGAGAAUUAUACAAACCUUAAACAGCCUUUCCCACACUUCGUCAUCGGCG